RNAcentral lists this ribosomal RNA (253 nucleotides) under uncultured bacterium. RNAcentral describes it as "partial 16S ribosomal RNA". It matches the Rfam family "Bacterial small subunit ribosomal RNA", at positions 524 to 776 of the family's 1533-position model. The record is from RNAcentral.
UACGAAGGGGGCUAGCGUUGCUCGGAAUCACUGGGCGUAAAGGGUGCGUAGGCGGGUCUUUAAGUUAGAGGUGAAAGCCCGGGGCUCAACUCCGGAAUUGCCUUUAAGACUGCAUCGCUAGAAUUGUGGAGAGGUAAGUGGAAUUCCGAGUGUAGAGGUGAAAUUCGUAGAUAUUCGGAAGAACACCAGUGGCGAAGGCGGCUCACUGGACCGGUACUGACGCUGAGGCGCGAAAGCGUGGGGAGCGAUCCGG